AGGAAACAUCUCAUUUUACAAGUCAAAGCGGCAACAAUGGAUUUCACCGAGAGAACACAAGAUAACAAGCAACAGAAAAUACAAGAGCAAGUUUGAAUAAUCUAGAUAGAAUUUUUGUAAUUUGUAGAUCAUAGCUUAGUCUAACUUCUUCUUUUUUUGACAUGGUGUAAUAAGGAAGGCCGACGAGCAGUAGCAGCAGUAAAAUCCC
Molecule: long non-coding RNA, 208 nt
Filed under: Nicotiana benthamiana
Lineage: Eukaryota; Viridiplantae; Streptophyta; Magnoliopsida; Solanales; Solanaceae
Description: long non-coding RNA (NBEN_LNC017202)
Source: RNAcentral